CCUACGGGAGGCAGCAGUGAGGAAUAUUGGUCAAUGGGCGAGAGCCUGAACCAGCCAAGUCGCGUGAAGGAUGACGGCCCUACGGGUUGUAAACUUCUUUUGUCAGGGAGCAAUUGAGUCCACGUGUGGGCUUAGCGAGAGUACCUGAAGAAAAAGCAUCGGCUAACUCCGUGCCAGCAGCCGCGGUAAUACGGAGGAUGCGAGCGUUAUCCGGAUUUAUUGGGUUUAAAGGGUGCGCAGGCGGAAUGUCAAGUCAGCGGUAAAAUUUCGGGGCUCAACCCCGUCGUGCCGUUGAAACUGGCGUU
This 305-nucleotide ribosomal RNA is filed under the name uncultured bacterium. Its description in RNAcentral is "bacterial SSU rRNA". It matches the Rfam family "Bacterial small subunit ribosomal RNA", at positions 338 to 640 of the family's 1533-position model. The record is from RNAcentral.